RNAcentral lists this ribosomal RNA (301 nucleotides) under uncultured bacterium. Its description in RNAcentral is "partial 16S ribosomal RNA". It matches the Rfam family "Bacterial small subunit ribosomal RNA", at positions 509 to 807 of the family's 1533-position model. The record is from RNAcentral.
CAGCAGCCACGGGAAUACAGAGGGUGCGAGCGUUAAUCGGAUUUACUGGGCGUAAAGCGUGCGUAGGAGGCUUCUUAAGUCGGAUGUGAAAUCCCUGAGCUUAACUUAGGAAUUGCAUUCGAUACUGGGAAGCUAGAGUAUGGGAGAGGAUGGUAGAAUUCCAGGUGUAGCGGUGAAAUGCGUAGAGAUCUGGAGGAAUACCGAUGGCGAAGGCAGCCAUCUGGCCUAAUACUGACGCUGAGGUACGAAAGCAUGGGGAGCAAACAGGAUUAGAUACCCCUGUAGUCCCUGUCUCUUAUAC